CCUACGGGUGGCAGCAGUGAGGAAUAUUGGUCAAUGGGCGUAAGCCUGAACCAGCCAAGUCGCGUGAGGGAUGAAGGCUCUAUGGAUCGUAAACUUCUUUUAUAAGGGAAUAAAGUGCGGGACGUGUCCCGUAUUGUAUGUACCUUAUGAAUAAGGAUCGGCUAACUCCGUGCCAGCAGCCGCGGUAAUACGGAGGAUCCGAGCGUUAUCCGGAUUUAUUGGGUUUAAAGGGAGCGUAGGCGGCCUUUCAAGUCAGCGGUGAAAGUCUGUGGCUCAACCAUGGAACUGCCGUUGAAACUGGGGGGCUUGAGUAUGUUUGAGGCAGGCGGAAUGCGUGGUGUAGCGGUGAAAUGCUUAGAUAUCACGCAGAACCCCGAUGGCGAAGGCAGCCUGC
This 394-nucleotide ribosomal RNA is filed under the name uncultured bacterium. RNAcentral describes it as "partial 16S ribosomal RNA". It matches the Rfam family "Bacterial small subunit ribosomal RNA", at positions 338 to 729 of the family's 1533-position model. The record is from RNAcentral.